UGGGGAAUAUUGCACAAUGGGCGCAAGCCUGAUGCAGCAACGCCGCGUGAGGGAUGACGGCCUUCGGGUUGUAAAACCUCUUUUAGUAGGGAAGAAGCGAAAGUGACGGUACCUGCAGAAAAAGCACCGGCUAACUACGUGCCAGCAGCCGCGGUAAUACGUAGGGUGCGAGCGUUGUCCGGAAUUAUUGGGCGUAAAGAGCUCGUAGGCGGUCUGUCGCGUCUGCUGUGAAAACCCCGAGGCUCAACCUCGGGCCUGCAGUGGGUACGGGCAGACUAGAGUGCGGUAGGGGAGAAUGGAAUUCCUGGUGUAGCGGUGGAAUGCGCAGAUAUCAGGAGGAACACCGAUGGCGAAGGCAGUUCUCUGGGCCGUAACUGACGCUGAGGAGCGAAAGCGUGGGGAGCGAACAGGAUUAGAUACCCUGGGUAGUCCACGCCGUAAACGUUGGGCGCUAGAUGUGGGGACCAUUCCACGGUUUCCGUGUCGCAGCUAACGCAUUAAGCGCCCCGCCUGGGGAGUACGGCCGCAAGGCUAAAA
This 537-nucleotide ribosomal RNA is filed under the name uncultured bacterium. RNAcentral's name for it is "partial 16S ribosomal RNA". It matches the Rfam family "Bacterial small subunit ribosomal RNA", at positions 355 to 899 of the family's 1533-position model. The record is from RNAcentral.